GAUGAAGAACGUAGUGAAAUGCGAUAAGUAAUGUGAAUUGCAGAAUUCAGUGAAUCAUCGAAUCUUUGAACGCAUCUUGCGCUCCUUGGUAUUCCGAGGAGCAUGCCUGUUUGAGUGUCAUUAAAUUCUCAACUCUCCUAUACUUUGUUGUAAAGGAGGGCUUGGAUUGUGGAGGCUUGCUGGCCGCUUGAUGUGGUCAGCUCCUCUGAAAUGCAUUAGCAGAACUGUUUGCGAUCUGCCACAAGUGUGAUAAAUUAUCUACACUGGCGAGGGGAUUGCUCUCUGUGUUCAGCUUCUAAUCGUCUUCAGUGACAAUUUCUUGAAUGCUUGACCUCAAAUCAGGUAGGACUACCCGCUGAACUUAAGCAUAUCAAUAAGCGGAGGA
This 385-nucleotide unclassified non-coding RNA is filed under the name soil metagenome. RNAcentral's name for it is "partial contains 5.8S ribosomal RNA, internal transcribed spacer 2, and large subunit ribosomal RNA". The stretch from base 1 to 120 matches the Rfam family "5.8S ribosomal RNA", at positions 35 to 154 of the family's 154-position model. The record is from RNAcentral.